RNAcentral lists this long non-coding RNA (32095 nucleotides) under Phoenix dactylifera (date palm). Its description in RNAcentral is "long non-coding RNA (PDAC_LNC006828)". The stretch from base 11408 to 11507 matches the Rfam family "Small nucleolar RNA Z122". Lineage: Eukaryota; Viridiplantae; Streptophyta; Magnoliopsida; Arecales; Arecaceae. The record is from RNAcentral.
GAACUAGCGCAACAGGCAAUACUGUCACAUAAAUCUCUAACAAUACAGGAAGCAGAGAAAGGAGGAAAACCAUUUUGCAGGGCAGAUUUUGCAGGGCAGCUGAGACAAGCCUCUUUUGUUAGUGAUGACGUUACCUGGGUUUACUCAAAUCAUUUGUAUGGCUUGUGAACUUCAGCAGAUAUACUCUAUUAUUACCAUCACAAAAAUGGUAGCAUAUUUUUCUCUUGUUUUUGAUGUUUGUGGUUCAUCAGUUCGCAUCCGUUUUUCCUGUAUUUUAAAAAUAACAGUGGGAAAUAAUGGAAAAGAUAUUUAUAUUAAAAUCUUGGAUAAAGAACACUUCCGGAGGUUCGCGCAUGAAAAAUCCUAGCUUAGCGGAAAAGGAUAGAAAUCAAUAACCUUGCUGCAAAAUAAAUAUGCACAACAAAAAGCAGGUUUAGAAAAGCAGAAAUGAGCCUUAUUCCAAUCAAAGCAGGUUUAUAAAAGCAGGAAGGAUCAUGCAAGAGAACCCAAGAUGCACCAAAUUUUGUUUUUCUUUCGUAUCAUUUCUAGUUUUAAACUAGACUGGAUCAUCUCAUACUACAUAAAGAUCUCGUCACAUUUUGAGAGACGUACAUAUAGUAUAUUAACUUUUUUUUGUUACUAAUGCAUUUAGCGGGAGAUUGGUUGCCUCCCAUAUCUCAUAAACUCCACGUUGGAGUUUGCUUAGAGUGUUGGAUGAAAAUUUCACACUUCUCUCUGUUUUUUUCUCUCUAACACUAACUGUUGUGCCCAUCCCUAGGAAGAUUCCUUCAGAGUGAAUGGUGUCUAACGUUUUAGAGACCUCCUCUACUCUUCGUCUUUCAACAUCAAAUAGGUAUUCCACUCAAAAUGGACUGGUAUAACUUUGUUCCUGAAAUAAGGCACUCUUUCAUUCCUAGGUCAGGAAUAAAAUAAUUCAACUAAAAGGAAAAAGGAAUGACGAUUCUUUUUCUAAUUCAUGAACCGGCAAGCUUGGCCUAUAACGUUGUCUUGCUUUAAAUGGAAAUCAAUCUCAACAACCAUUAGACUUGCGAUCACACAAGGAUGGUUGGGAAUACAUACUUUCUUGAAAAGAAAUAAAUUGGAAUUUAGAAGCAGUAGUAUGAAUAAUGGUUGUGGUGAUAGAAAGAAGUGAGUGACUUGGGAUCUAAUCUAGUGUAUUCAUAGGCUAUCAAUACACUUAUGAAGAGGUGCAUCCCUUCGCUAUCAUGUCUUACUACCAAUAGUCACUUAUCAAGAGGCACCUAUUGAUUCAAAUCAAAUGGCCAUCAAUCACAUCCCUUCACCAUCAUGGCUUUUCAUUACAGUAGCUAUCAUGCAUGUCUCUUCAUGACAUCUCUUUAUUUCAAUUUUGAUUCCAACCAACCAUGUGAGAAGUCCCACACGCCGGUUUUUGAUCUUAUAUGCUUGUUUUUACGAUAUUUGGAUCCAAUCGCUUUGAAUACAUGCUAACUAUAGUAUGAUUUUGCAUCAUGCAGCUAAAUGACACAUAAUUAGUACGUGUCUUCAUAUUCUUCUUACCGUCUAGCUUGAGCGAUGUUGCAUGUACUCAGACAUAAAAUCCAGAAUACACAAAAGAAUAUUUAAAAAUAUCAUUUGUUAAAGUUUUCCAUUAUUCAUUUUUCUCAUUCAAACUUCUAAGUUAUCUUAAAAAUUUGGAAAAUAAAAAUUUAUAAAAUUAAUUUAAUAUAUACAUUCUUGACUAAUCUCCGAAAAAGAAUAAAGUUUCAUUUAAGCAUUGCAAUAGUGAAGCAAACUAAUUGUUAGAGUCUGCUAUUAUCAAUUUCUACAAAUGAAAAUUAAUAAGCCUUUAUAAAUAUCCGUGUCUGGCAUAUCUGGCUCAUAUACAUACCCGAAAAGGAUUCUAGGAGUUGGACGCAAGUUAUAUACAAUAACUGCUACCCUUCAAUGCAAGUAAGCUAAUUUGUUGUUCUUUCAUGCAAAUGCAUGGACGUUAGCUGGCCGCCUUUCUUCCAGGCAAGGCAACCAAACUUGGCCACUUGCCAUGUCAUUCCAUGCAUGUCGACGAACCAUGGGCCCUCGCCAUCACAUCCAACCAUUACUAAAGGCAUUAGGCUCAACUUUGCAUUGGCUUGCUUAAGCUCAGACAGCUCCUCAACCACUGCAAUGUUGAAGAUUGCCUUCCCUUUCUUCUUCGAAUUUUCAUCUUUCAAUGUCUCUCUUUGGCUAAAACUCCAGAAGAAGCUUCCAACACUUCUCUUUAGUAUUUCCAUAGAUGUUACAGUAGUCGCAAUAAUUUUUCUAAGUUAUGUUGACGUGCUUCCUACUUCUUUGAUCCUUCCUAUCCUAGUUUUCCAUGAUCCCUUCUAGCCUUUUCUAAGCCAAUUUUUCUACUUGAUCCCCAUGGCCUUCAUGCUAGCUUCAUUGAUGUCUUCAACUUUGAAGAGCUUCAGCUCUUUUUGAAUUCUCUAAUGGAGACCUCCAACGUCCUUCAUGAAGAUCACAUGAUCAUCGAUAGAGAUUUUAAGUGAAAUUGCUUGCUUGUGGAACUCGAUGGUAUAGUCCUAGAUAGAUUGAUCAUACUUUUGAGACAAAUAUUGCCACUUGAUCCACUGAUCAUUCUUGUGGCCAAUUGUAAAGAAUUACUUCUUGAUUAGACCCAAAUUUGCUCUAUGUCAGAUUAGAGACACCGUUGUUCCUCAUAUAUGAAUUUCACAAGGUAAGAGUAUGGUUGGAAAGCUUGAGACAACAAAAGCUACCUUUUAGAUACUGGUGUAGCUGUAGUAGUAAAAUAGGACUCUAACUGGUCUAGCGAGUUAUCCAGCUUCUUUGCAUCGAUAGCUCCAUCGUAUAUACAGAUCUCGAUUUGAGCUUCGACUUUAAAAACCUAAAGAGAAGGAUUUUGAGUGCCUAUCUGUUGCUCAUCCUUCUUGCAAAAGGAUAGAUCCUUGUCUCCAGACGUGAGAGACAACUUCGCAACAAGAGUUGCUAGUGCUUGUGCCGAAGACAUCAGUAAUCGAGACACGAUCUCGAUAAGUUGGGUAAUCUUCUCUUCUAAUUGUGUGACAUGUCCCUUCAUCUCAUCAUCUAUCUAAGUAGAACUAGUAGCUAUACUCACCUUAAUCCUUCAAUGUACUUCAGGCAUGAGUAGUCUUUCUCCCGUCUACUUAUAUUGCUCAUAUAUUUGGAUCAUAAACUGACCUCCAAAAAUGUAACAAAAUAACAAAACCAAUCACUAUUUGGUAUCUCUCGUCCAUCACUCUUAAUUGGUAUUACAUUUUCAUGUCUAUUCUCCCCAAAUUUACAUUCCAUAUACUCUAUCUUUGUUCUACAUAGAAUGAGAUAGAUAGAGGUACUAAGGGAUAUUGCAUGGUCUCAAUGGAAAUGGUUGAAAAUUGCUUGGCAACUAUUAAAUAAGAAUAUGACUACUGUCGAUCAGGGAUUGCAUGGUUAAAAAUACUUUUGUAUUGCUAUUGAAGGAGCAUUGGCUGCAUCCAAGGCAUUGAAUGUCACCAAAACAGGUUUCAAGUGCCUAAACCAAGACCAACUAAUCUACUGUCUUAAACAUAGUGACCACCUAAAGAAAAAACUUAGACAAGCUUGUUUCGCAAUUAAAGUAUUUUCAAAUAAUAGGACAGUUACUAUAUAUAGAACUAAACAAGAUAUAGAAUAUGUAGUUGGAAGGUUAGGCAAAUAUACUAAAACCCCAACAAAGAAUGUUUGACUAUUUCAAAAAGAAUACUUUAAUAACUCACAGGAAUCAUAGGUUAUUUCUUGUAUUAUUUCAUGAGAGUGCUCAUUUACAUUUAGGUUCAUGAAAACAUCCAAGUUGAUUCCAUUAUUUAGUGCCCCGAAUGCGGCCAAUGUCCCUUCUAUGGUCAAUCCUGGAACUCUCUUAACAAGGUUGUGCAAUCCCUAAUUACAUACACAUUUGCCCUAACAGCUAUGUUAUUAUCCAAUAAUUAUUUGAGCAAUUCCCACCCUUUCCUCCCAAAUCAUGCAAUAUUUGUUAGUACCUCCACUUUUGCCGUUGCUCUCCUAACGCAUGAAGCUAAAGAAGAUGAACUAAUACCUCACCUCUUGCUUAAGAAUGUUAUUUGAUUAUUAGAUGGGAUAUUUAUAAGAUAAAAGUUUGACACACUUGCACUAGCUUCACUCAAAUGGAAACCUCAAAUGGAAACCAUAUCAUAAAGGAGUGAUGGACGCCUCAAAGGCAUGAUUUGAUGAUGUUACUUUUUCAUUUAAGACUAGACGUAUGGAUUAAUUUCAUGUUAUCUGAUCUGGCAUUAGAAUUGUCAUACUUAGAGCAUCAGAAAUAUUCCAUGUUUCCUGGAUAAAGACUGGGACUUUCACCUUCCGACUCUGUUAUGUAAAUUGUCUACCUCCAUAGUUAUCCAAAAGGAACUGAUCCUUCAAUAUUCAUAUCGAUUGUUUUUCUAGUAGAUCAGUCCAAUUAGCCAAUCAAGUUUUAGGGAUCAUUGGUGCACUUCUACUAGAUAGUAAAUCUCUAUAUUGCUCUAGGAUGAUCAUUUCCUAAGGGUGAUUGAAUUUGUUGUCAUGCUUAAAGAUCUGCAGAUGAAAAGAAAAUAGAGCAAGAACAAUAACUUUCUGGGUUAAAAAAAUCUUCUUGAAACUUAGGGAAAACAAUAGAUAAAACUUUAUGCCUAAAUGGUAAUGAAUCAAAUCUUGGACGCAAGAAAAUAUGUAAACCAACAUUAAUUGAGAACCAGAAUAAAAUUAGUCAAAAUAUUUCUAACUAGUUUUAUGAAUACGUCAAAAAAAGUUUCGAUGACAUAGAUCAAUUUGAAUAUGAUGCUAUAAACCUAACAUAGAAUUAGGCACAAAUAUUCACGAAGUCAUUGUUGUGGUAAAUUUGGAUUGAAUCUAAAUGAUUGCAGGUAACCAGUAGAAAGAUUGUAGCCCUGUGUUAACUUUAUAAAAUUACAAUUUGAAAUAAAACUAUAAUCAUCAAUCCAUGCCUCCAAAGGAAGUAAAGAAAAUAAUAGAUUUUAUAAAACUUAUACAAAGAUUGUGUGGAUUUAUCUCAUCUCAUCUUUCUUGCUUAAUUAAUUUCUGGUGCUCAGUAUAUGGGAGAAGAUAGUGAAAUGAUUCCAUUACCAACACACCACUUUCUCCCAUUCCAUCGAGCACUCUAGCAUUGACCUCAUACUCCCUUUCUCUAAAAGCAUAGCUCAAACAAAUCACACAAAAAUAAUAAAGAGAGCUAGGGUUCAACAUACCUCGCUAGGAUUCUGUCAAGAUAGAGGUUGAAGCCACAGUGGGGAAUCAAGCAGACACCAUGGAAGAUGCAGCUAUAGCCAACAACAAAGCACAAUAAAGGAUGCCAAUCAAGAGAUGUAGCAUAAUAAAGAUCAGUGGGAGAACCCCACCACCUUAAAGGAUGACAAUCCGAUUUUUGGUACUGCAUACCAAAGGGAGGAGCCCGACAACAUCAGGAGGUGGCACUAGCAUUGAGAUCGUUGUGGGAAAAGAAGGGGUAAGAUGCUUGGGAAAGAGAGGGAGAGGAGAGGUUAGGGUCAAAGAGAAUAGAGGAAAUUUUCGAGGGCACUGACCAAAAUAGGCAAAAGAAAAAGCAUAAAACAUGGCAUAAGCCCAUACAUUGGGUCCAUAUGGAAUAUUUAUGCCAGUAAAAUGUUAGGGCUCGUUUGGUUCGCGAAAAAAAAGAGAAAAAAAUGUGGUUAAUAGAAAAAUAAUGAAAUGCCUCUUAUUUAGUUGGAGUUUUCAAAGAAAAAAGAUGGAAAAGUUAUAUUUCCAUUAGAAUAUGAUUUCCACAUUUCAUGGAAAAGUCUUUUCCAUGAGAAACAUGGGAAAGUUACUUUCCUAUGAGACAGGAAUCACUCCAUUUUUAUUUUUUUUCAAAAAGACCUUUCAGCAUUAAAAAAGCAUUAAAGAGGCAUUAAAGACCUAAUUUUUGUUAAGGGCAUAAUAGAAAUUAUGCAUAACUUUUCCAGAAAAGUAGAUGGCCAACCAAACAUAAACACUUUGGAAAUUUGUCACUUUCCCAUAAUCAACCAAACAUUCCAAAAGUAUUUUCCUAGGCAUCCUCUUUCUAAAAAUUUGUUUCCCAGAAAUCAUAUUCCUAUGAGAAAAAAUGCUUCCCGCGAACCAAACCUCCUUAAUGGAAAUCCUUAUCCUAGGCUUAUCCCUCCUUUAGGUUUUCUAGAAUCCUAAACUCUAAAACCUUUAGGUGGUGACUACAUAGCUAACAACAACUAGCUCUACGGAAGCAGAUGAUCCCAUGUCAAGGUUGCAGUAAAUGAAAAUUAAAUGGCAAAAAUGCAACAUAAGGAAUAUAGUUGGGAGGCAGGGGUUGAAAGGAGUUUAAAAGAUCCAUAACAAUUUGUCUUCAAUAAAUUUAGAAAGCUCAAGAAAACUAAGGGUUAUACCAAGCGAAAGAGAAGAUAUGGUGGAAUGUGCUACACUAAAGGGUUUAUUAAAAUAUAACUUCUGUGGAAAUAUAUAUAUUAAAAUGCGGUUAAAGGAAAAAAAGAAGCAAAUCAUGACGUUAUAAUAGAUUUGGCGAGCCAAACACUCAAUAGCAACAAAAUGGAGAAAGAAAACCAUAAAGUUAAAAAUUUAGUCAAAAGAAUGUAGUUAACGUAUAUGACUUGAACACUAGGAAAUAAGGUUAGCAUAAGAUUGUAGGACAUCGGAUAGCAGCUGACGUGGGACUAAAAAGGGAAAAAAUAGUGUGGUGAUGAAGGUUGAUAUUUGAUAGCAAUGCAGGUCCUUAGCUAGAAAGAUGGAACUAAUAUUUCAUGAGUUACGACACCAUAUUGACAUAACAAUUGGAUCAGUUGGAUCGAACAAAUUGGUGCUUUAUUGUUUUAUGGGAAUCCAGUGAAAUUAAAUGAAUGGAGACAUGGGAUCUACUAUAGUUGAUAUACUUAAAAUCUUGUUGAGCAUAGCUGUUGUUAAGGAUCGCACAUAAGGUUUUGUCUAAUAUGGAAUAAUUAGUAGAAGAAGAUAAUUGAUAUGGCUGGUUGGGCCCAAAACUUAACAGCUUAAGGUUUUGAAUUAACUUUUGUUCUAAUAUGUAUGUAUUCCAAUCCCUUCACUUCCUAACAAGUGGGAUCAAAAUUAAUAAAUGAUGAUUUCAAAAAACUCUUGAAGUUAUAAGUUGUAAAAAUUGUUGGCCUUUUGCGAAGAAUGGUAACAUAUGGGCUGAUGGAGCCGGGCCAUAGUGGCCAUGAAAGUCAAGCAGAUAUAGUAAAUAAACUUGGUAGAAGAAGUUGCUCGCUUUGAGCAUGGCUUCAAGUUAUGGUGGUUGCGGAGUGUCGAGUUGAUAUGGCUAGUAGACUCAAUAGAACAAUACACUAGAUUUGAGCGCGGCUCAAAUAUGAUUUCCAAAAGAGUGAAAUAUUGUAAGACCAUCGUGGCUCUUAGAGAGCGGGCUUCUCUUGGGCUUAAGUGGUAAUACACUAUGGUAAAGUGUGGCCUAGCUUUUAGAAAGUGGGAUCAUGCGGGAGAUUUAGUCCCACAUGGAGCAAUAAGUAAGAGCAUGGUCUGCUGUAUCGAUCCGUACUGGCCGGUACGGGCCGGUACGUACCGAUCCGGCUUGGAACCGGUACCGGAUCAGCGUGGAAUCCGGUACCGGAUCAGCGUGGAAUCCGGUACCGGUAGCUUAUCGUUGAAGAACCGGUAUAGGAUCGAUACGAACCGGUACGAGACCGGUAUGGGAUCGGUACGUACCGGUUCGGGCCGCUACCGGUACGCCGACUGGUACCGGUACGGCGGACCUUGAGUAAGAGGGAAGAUAAUAGAUAUAUAUGAUUAGGCCCAAAACCUAUUCUAACUUAUAUUAUUUUUCCAGAUUGGAUUCAAACUCCAGCACUUUGUAUUGAUGAUUUUUAUGAAAUUAAUGGAUAUAACUAAGAAAUUGGGUCAGAGACUUUCGACAUAGCUUGAGUUAUCUAAAUAAUGAAAAUGUGGGGCUCAAAUAAUAUGAAUCAUAGCUUACUACAAAACUCCGCACUAAAAAAGGUAUAACUUAUCCUAGAUCUAGCAUUUUAAAAUACUUUGACUUGAUGUUAUGUCUAGUCUAUUUUUCAAAAGUAUAUCUUUUUACAUAGGUUAGGUCAUCUAAAUAGUGAAAAGGCGGGCCUCAAAUAAUACAAAGUAACUUACUAUAGAACUUCAAACUAGAAAAGAUACAUUUUGUUCCAAAUUCAUCAACUUAAAACACUUUGACUUGAUGGAAUGUCUAAAAUCUAUUUCUCAACAAUAGUGAAAUAUUAUUGCUAGUUAGAUAUUAUUAAUACAAACAUUGCUUUUCUAAAUGAUGGCUUCUUCUUGACAAAACAAAAUUUAUCCAUAUUGUUCUCAUUCGUAAAAGCAAGAAUCUUAGUUGCAUCAAAUCAUUUUGAAAAUUUUGACCACUUAAUUGUAACAAGUGCUGUACUAAAUAUUAUAUGAGAAAAUUAAAGUGUUUUUGUUGUUGGGCAUUUAAUCACAUAUAUUGUUUAUAUUGCCUUUGAAGUGGUUCAUUAUUUGGAAAACAAGCAUACGUGAAAAAGGCCAUUUGACUUUGUACAUGCACAAGGCUUAUGACAAAGAAUAAAUAUUUUUUCUAAAGAAAAUGAUGCUCAUAAUGGAUUUUUGAAAAUGGGUAAUUUUGAUUGUGAAAUAUUUUACUUUUUUUGGUGAAAAAUAGGAGGGGGGAGGGGGGGACGAACCCACCCACGUAGCAGCCCCCACUGGGCCCCCCCUUCCACUAAGGAAUGUUCGAUGCAGGUCGCAAAUUUCCGCAUGCCCUCCCUGACCCAUGGGCUCCCCUACUGGAAUCAACAGCCACGUGUGAGUAUAUCACCCCAGCACCACCAAGGCUACCGCCCGCGCGUUUCGAACUCGGAACCACGAGGAUGGAAGUAAGGCCCAGUUCCACUAAGCUACCACCUCAGUGACUGAAAUAUUUUACUUUGAUAACCUACCACUUUCAUAAUAAAGAGCAAAAUGAUUGUAUUUCUCCUUAAAGGAGUCUCCAAUAAGGGGACCCUUAUCUUGUUAUAUUUUCUUAAUACAAGAACAUAAUAGUGUUUUAAAAGAGGGGAUUAGUAUGUUAAGGGAGUGAAACAAUGGGCUACCUGACAAAUUCUUGGAUUUUCCAAAAAUAAUUAAGAAAUAAAAAUGAUAGAUGACCAGUUUAAUAAAAAAGGAUGGAGAAAAGCUUCAAGUAUGGGAGUAGAAAAGUAUAGGUAUAUACUAAGAACUAGACCGGUCCAAGUAAUGUCUUGCUUUUUUCCAAUAUAUUGUGCUAGGCUAGGAGUGUCAAAUGAACCGAGCAGCUUGAGGUUGGCUCAAGAAAAGCUCAAAUUAAGAUUAAUUUGAAGCCAAAUAAAGAAAGAUGGAAUCAGCAAAACAAAUCCAAAAUUAAUUUCAAGUCGAGCCAAAAAUCUGCUCAACUCAAUCAAGCUUUACUCGAUUAAAGCUCCAAUAUAUUUAGAUUAUCUAUAUUUCUUAUAUAAUGAAUCAUCGAACCAAAGUUUGAAAUCAAGAUUCAAGAAUUUAUUUAAAUUUGAACCAAGCUUGAUUUAAUCUUAAGUUGAUUUCUGUUCGAUUUAGGAUUAUCAAUUUGAUCAAGCAUGUUUAUGUUAAGAUUAAAUCAGGACUGAAUCAAGCUUGGUUAGAGCCAAACUCAAUCAAAUUAUUAGUUGGACUAAAUUUAGUGCUGAGCUGGUGGAUCGAUCCAAUCACAUAUGAACAUAAUCAAACACGGAGAAAUAAAAAAGAGAGGAGAAGCUUGGGCACUUUUUUUCUCCUUGUUACUUUCAACUAAUUCGGUGGUAGAUCGAGUCCAACUAAAAAUUUCUCCUAAUGCCAAAUUGAGUUGGAUCCAGCCCAAUCACACCCGCUGCCUUGCAUCCGAAUGGUACGGACCAAAUCAUCACCGUUCAUUCUAUAUAUUUUCUAAGUGACGAAAUUACCCUUAGGGUUUGGCUAUCGAUUUGUCCAAAACCUAGCAUUAUAAAUAGUCAUAGCACAGCCGCCGUUCCCUUUCAGAGAACAAGAGGCCGCUCGGAGGAGGAGAGACAAAGGGAGGAACUCAGCGAUUUGCGAAGAGAUGAGGGCCAAGGUAAAAUUUCGAAUUCCUCCGCCUUUUGGUUUCAUUUCUUUCGAUCCCUCUGGUUCAUCAGAGGUCGGUAUUACCUAAAACCCCCCGGAUUAAACGCAUUCCCAUUAUUUUUUCGUUUUUUGCCUUCUUGUGAUUUGUCUACCCGAUUCCGUGAUAAAGGAGUGAAUUUUCUGAGAUUUCUGGAUGGGUUUUUUCUUGUGACUGGUCAUCGAUCUUCGUAGUUUUAGGACUGUGAUAUCAUUUUAUUAUUCGAUGUUUCUUUCUUUUAUGUUUUGAUUUUUUGUGGAUUUUGUUAUGGAGCUCUGUGUUUUGUUGAUGUCUGUGAGAAAGGUUGUUUCAUUUUCUUCAUGCUGUGGAAAAUCGUGUAUUUAGGGUUAGUAUAUGUUGAAUUCCUUAAGGUAGAGGCUUAGUUGCUUCAGUCCCGCGAGAAGAGGUUUGAUUUGUUGUUCUUAUAAAUCAUCAGUGGUUGAAGAUCUGUGAAGAAAAUGCUUGUAUUUGCUUAUCUAUCGACCUUUGCCGUAUCAUAACUUGGCUGUACUUCUGGCAGCCCUUAAGACAUGUGAUUAGUACUAAUUUUUAAGACAAAUGAUUUUUAGGGCAUAUAUUUACGUGUCCUUUGGUUUUUAAUAUAAAAUGUAAGUGGUACAAUUUGUUAUUUGGAUUGGGAUGUGUCAUUUGGGUAAAUUUGAUCUUGUAGUUUGAAGUUUUAUUCGAAAGCUUGUGAUCCAUUCGUCAUUUAAGUUGGAGAUGAUUGCUUCAUGUCUUUUAGCCUUAACAUUUUGGCUGAAUGGUUGAAACAUUCAUCUAAAGGGCACUUGAUCAGCAUCUCUGUCCAUCUUUUUGUGAUUCAAUGUCAUGGUAUUUUGCUUUUAAAUUGUGUUUAUGAUGUUUGGCACUUUAUUUUCUUGCAUGCGAUCAUUGUGUGCUGUGUCUGUGCUAGAAUGACGAAGGUAGCACAUAUCUUCCGUAUAUUCAUUUCUAGAGAGAUGGUAAAUUGUGUGGUCUCAUGUUUUAGUUUCUUGUAUUUGCUAUUUUAUUUGAUGUGUUUUUUCUUUAAUGUUUUAACUAGCAAAGUUCAACUGAUUCGUGGUUCUUUUAUUUACAAGAGCAAGUUCAACUGGUCAAAGACAGCAAAUGUCAGUGCUGUCAGUCUGAAAAAUUGCUUGAUAAGAGUUUUCUUUAUUGAUAAUUAAUUGAGCUUGAGAUCUAUCAGCUUGCUUGUUUUUCAGCACGUUAAAGCUUAAAAUAUUUAAAGAAAUAAAUAAUAUGUUAUACAUAUUAUUUGAUUUAGUAUUAGAUAAUAAAUUUUACUUUUUAAGUUCUGAGAUUUUGAUGUUUGGAAAAUGAUGCAAGAUAAGUCAGAUGUUGGUUCUGAGAAGCAGUAGCCCUUUGCACUGCCUUUGCUGAAUAAUUUGCACGUCAGUCUGAUUCCAAACCCUCUUUAAUAUGACUGGUAUGACCUAAUGUUACUAUGUCAUUUGCUUGUAUUGUGAUUUAUGCGCCUUGCGUGCGUUUUCUUUUUUAUUUUACCGGUGGUGCUUGUACCCCAUCAGCUCCAAUCACAUCAAAUUGAAUGAUGUCUUUGAAGUCAAUAAUCCUUGAUAUGGUAUAAUUAAUGUGCAUCAACAGGAUUUACAUAUAUAUUUCAGUUGUUUCUUUUUAGGUUAUUUCUUCUCUUUCUUUAUUUUCGGUCAUGUCGUAUUGGGAAAUGAUGCAAAAUAUGAAUCAGAGGCUGUUUCUGAGAGGCAGUAGCAAUUUUGCUUUGCCUUUGCUGAAAAAUUUACACGCCAAUCUGAUCCCAGGCCCUAAUCAAUGUAACUUAGUUUCAAUAUAGCAAGUAUGAUUCUUAUUUUACUACAUAAUAUUUCAAUGUAACUUAGUUUCAAUAUAGCAAGUAUGAUUCUUAUUUUACUACAUAAUAUUUUUAUGUUUAAUUGAAAAAAUGAAGUAAAGAUUGCUCUGAAAAGUCAUGGAGAGGUAGUUGCAACUUUGGGAAAUGAUGCAAAAUAUGAAUCAGAGGCUGUUUCUGAGAGGCAGUAGCAACUUUGCAUUGCCUGUGCUGAAACAUUUAUAUGCCAAUCUGAUCCCAUACUUCAUUUUAUGUAGUUUGUUUCAUUAUAGCAACUAGGGUUCUUAUUUUACGACAUAAUGUUUUUCUAUUUAAUUGAACUAUAGUGGAAUUAUUAAAUUGUUUUAACUAUAGGGGAAUUAAGCUUAGAAUGCUGCUAAGAAGUUAUGGUAAAGGGCACUGUGUCAAUGUAUUGCAUAUGUAUUCAUUCUUGUAUAUAUUUAUGUAAUUGAUUCAUCGUGUAUUAGGCAAGCUGACAGGUGCCUGUGCUUGCAUUCUUGUUAUUUAAAUGGUUGCAUCUUGACCUCUAAAUGCUAGCUGCAAGUUGAGCGCUGUAAUAUGUUUAAGAAUAUUGUUGACCAUUUCUGUUGUUGCAUCAAAGAUUUUGGUUUUUCUCUUUAUAGGUUAAUUUAUUCACCGAUUUGAUUGCUUUCUAUCUUUGAGUAUAUAUGUUUCUUUGCAUGUCUUUCAGAUCCAUGCCUCUUGAGCAAUGUUUACUUUAAAAUGAUCGAACUUUGGAUGUCUGAUGGGUUAUUGAUUUGCCUGUCAGUUAUUAAUGCUAAAGUUAAUUGCAUACCUUCAGUUCACUGGUUGAAUCUUGGAGUUGCUUCUUUGCUGCUAACCUCCCNNNNNNNNNNNNNNNNNNNNNNNNNNAAAUAGGUCUUGAACUAUAAGAACUUCUUGCUAAAUAUUGUUUGCUGUGAACUCCUCUACUAGUUGAAGACCCUUAGCAUGAUCACUUACGGCGGUCCUCAAGUUAGUUUUUUUUUGUGGCUAUGAUUCUAUGCUCGAUUAAUUUUUAUACUUUCUGAGCUAUUCAUUUUUCUCAGUGGAAGAAGAAGCGAAUGAGGAGACUUAAGAGGAAGCGCCGAAAGAUGAGGCAGAGAUCGAAGUAGGUGAUGAAGGUGUCAGCAUCCUUGUGUCAACAUCUCACUGAAUGUGGUGUCUAUCCUGAUUCAUCCACCUGAUGUUGAGUGUGUUAUAGGAGGCGAAGCUACCUUCUGUCCUUUAAUUACUUGUUUGGCCGUAAUAGAAGUUAGAUGUUCUGCUUGACAGCGUAAUUCUCUUGUGUUUUGUUUAACCAUUGAGAACUUGUUUUAAGACAUUUUAUCUAGAAACAAUCCAAUGCCAACAUCGGGAUUCCAUCAAGUUUUUAUUUGGAAAUGUUUGUGCCUUGAGUGCUAUAUACAUGUAUAUAUAUACACACAUAUAUAUAUAUAUAUAUAUAUAUAUGCAAGGAAAAAGGGAUUCUGCUAGGUACGGUUUCUUUAUUGGUUCUCUCUUUAGAUGAUCAGGAGAGGUUAAUCACCAUCAUCCUAUGCGUCAUCGCUUGAGACUGACUCCAAAUUAGAACUAAGCUCUUUUAUCCUUGCUUAAAUGGUAAGGAGCAAUACCAGCCGAACAAAUAGUGGGAGCCCUUGCACAGCUGGGGUCAUUAUUAUGGUUAUUUUUCAUUGUACGGCAAUAAAGCUGUCUCAACAGAACUAUUUUAUUCUCAACAUCGUAAAUUUCUUUGAAACAUGAAAUUUGUUGUUAUUCAGUUAUUGGAAACAUUAUUAUUUUGCAGCCAAUUUAUUAGGAUUAGUUCAAUCUGGCAAGAGAACAGGAUAUAAGUUAAUGGUUUCGAAAUAGCCUUGUCUCCUCAUUUACCUGCCACCAACCUAUAUUUUAUUUAUACAUCAGUAUAGAAUUCUCAAUUUUUAGUCAACAUGGUUUAAGUUAGAGCAUUGGCAAAAACUUGAUGCUUUCACUAUUGAUUUUACAAGACUGCAUGAUACGGUUAUUGAUCCAAACGACAAUUAAUUCAGAAUAGUUCAUUUGAUGUUCAGCUUGCACUUUGCCAUUUGAUUGAAUACCCACAGGAACUUAAUCCAAUAAAUUAGAUCUAAAAACUUCUUUUGAUCCUGAUAGCUCAACCAACCAUAUUUCUCCUUAACAAUAGUUUGAUAUUGAAGCAUAAUGGUUCCUAUUAACAUAGCAGAUCUUACUUACCACAGGUGGUCAUCUUGAUGCAACUGGCUUCGUAUCUAUGGAAGAAAACUAGUUUAGUAUUACAGACAUAUCAACAUUCAGUCAGGCUAGACCUGGUCCUCCCAAAAAUUUGCAAAAGAUCGAUCAAUACUCGCAUUAUCAUCGGCCUUUGCUCUUGUUGCUCUAUGGUAGACAGCACAACAAAGAUGGCAAUUAUCAGCAGAUGAAGCAAUGGUGGGAUUAUGACUUGCAUUGGCCUAGGUUAUUAUUGCCUAUCACUAGCAUGAUGAUGCCUUUGGUAACAAGGCAAGGCCAGCGGAAACACUUUCCACCACCAAAUUCCAGAAUUCAGCAGAAUGCAGGUCAGAGCUGCUGGUUCCUCAACACCUAGGAUCGUGACAUGGAAGAUGUCAACAAUUAGAAGAUAGCUGCUACUGCAGGAACUUCCUAUCUUGAAGCUAUAGAUCACAGGAUUGGACUCGAAAUUAGGUAUCUUGGACAUGAGUCAUGCUGCCCAACAUUACCUAGACGCUUGCAUUUAGCUCCAAAAAUCUAUUUUGGAUGGUCGAAUACGUAUUGGAUGCUUAGAUACAUAUGAAGGUCUUUGGUAACUAUUGGAAGAGAGUUGAACUCUUCCAACAAUGAGUGAGUAAGUUGAACUCUUUCAACAUUGAGUUUAAUUCUCUAAUUUGAUAAUAAAAAUUAAUUAUUAUAAUUUGUUAAAGAUAUAAAUAUUAUAAUAAUUUGAAAAAAAUACUAUUUUGCUAACAUUCUGAAAAGUUUGAAUGAGAAAUAUAUAUAUUGAAAGAUCACCCGUGGCUAAGGUUUUAGGGGUAGGGAGGAGUUUUCUUUUAGAAUCUCUCGUACUAGACUUUUUCUCGAGAGAGCAUUAAGAUGAUCAAAAAUUCAGAAAGGACCAGCAUUUCCUAAGGCUAUCCAUAAUAAAUGCAAAACAUUGCAAUACUGAUUUCGACAUAAAACCAUUAAAAAUUAGAUUUAAAUAUUUUAUAAAAGAAUAAAAGAUUUCAACUUGACAUGUUUUACCAUGUCGGUCAAUAUGUAUUGGAUAACAUAAUACAAACUAAAACUAUUGAUUAAAUAGAAGGUUAUAUGAUGCUGCCUAAAUGAAAGAGUUUAGUUCUCCUGCAAUUUUGUGUUGGUCCAUUAAAUCAUGAUCUUUGUGCAGUAGAUGGACUAAUUCGAAGACUAGACCUUUCAAGGUAGAUUUGUGGGGCAAACGACAUAGGAAGAUGUCAUCAUGAUCUUGCACCUGGAUCAUGUCAUGAAUACGGAAAAAAGAGCUAGGUAUGUUCCCCAUAUGCUCUGAGAACUGCGCCUUUGUUUCCCUCUCACCCUCCCACUCAAUCUCGAUGGGGAAGAAACCUCGAAAGCGCUCAGAAUCAAAUGCAGACCAAGUCCAUAGGUGAAUGGCGCUAUAACCUUCAUGGAGAUAUAGAUUGGUGUUACUGUAGUUACGAUGAACCCAUAUAGUAGCUCCUAUAUCUAUCCACUUUUGAAUCCUUAAACUAUAUCUAUUUAGGACAUGUUUGGGAAAUCCAGUAGGAUUGGGCUGGAUUUCCUAGAGAUUGUCGGUCUUUUCAGCCUAUAUUCUUCUAAAGGCAUCCUAAUCUUAGUCUAAAUCCCAUCUGUGGUUCUGUUGGGCUGUAGGAGAAAAACAAACACCAAUAGAAUAAAAAAGAUAUGGUAUUAUGUAGGCUUUGUCCAAAUAGACCACCUACAUUAUAAAUUGAAUAGAAAAUCUAAUCCAAUCCUACUGGAUUUUCCAAGCAAGCCCUUAGGAGGCUUAUCUUGAUUGCAAAGCCCAAUAUAAAAUCUAAAAUAGAAAUCCGAUGAUGUGUCAAUAUGGGGCACAUCUAGAUGGACUCAAUAUGCAUUAACUCCAAUAUCUCAUUCAAUAUAAAUGGAGAGGAUUCCAACUCAAGAUUAAAACCUUGCCAAAAUGAGAGAUACAAUAGAAGGUCGAUCAUUUGUUUCCAUGGUUUUUGAGCAGCGUCCUUAUCACUCCCAACCCGAAGUCAUGAAAUGAGCAUGUGGCAUACGGCUACACAUCGUGUAGGCUCUUACCCCACAAGACAUGCCAAGAUCGUAUUCUUCUUUCACUAAUAUAUUCAACAUGACAAUAGAUUAGACAAUGACACAUUUGGAGCAUCUACACUUACAAAAUAUUUUAACAAUAAAAUCAAAUAAUAUCUAAUUUAAAUAGUCCAAGACAUAGUCAUAAAAGUUUUGAAGGUUCAUACAUUACAUAUUUUCCAAAGUUUUUAGUAAUCUAAAAUAAAAAAAAGGCUAAACCUAAUCCACUAACGCUCAACCCACAAUCGUCGUUUGAGUUACUCCUGAGCAUUUGGAAGGAAAAGAAAAAAAAUGAUGGUGAGCCAAUAGCUCAGUAGGUAACCUUUAUCUCUAGUUGGAUCAAGCAUAUUACGUACAAAAAAUACCAGCUUUCAUACCAUAUGAUUUUCAAUUAUCAAUGAAAGCAAUUUUACCAAAUAUAUGAUGAGAUUUUCACAAAAGCAUGUUUGCUAAUAUAAUUUUCAGAUAUUUAAUGUAUCUAGCAAAAACACCUUUUCUUUUUAAGGAAUUUUCAAUUUUAGUUAUUUGAAAAAUCUACCCACUUUUAGUCCUUGCGACUAGCCAUGAUUAGCCCCGUGACAGGCUUCAAAGAGACUAGCUCCUUAAUACGAAACAUGCCAUCGAUUAAUAUAUGCCAACAAAUAGUAUGCGCCAGAGAUCAUUCCCAAUUGACCUUAAAAAAAAUAGCUUCUGAAUAUAUGUAACUAAUGAUCAACCCCAUUGGCUAGGCUUGAAACAUAGUCAAACAAAAUAGCAACAUAACAUCCAUUCUAAAUCAAUUACUCAGCCAUAUAACCAAUCCAAAAAAUCCAUAAGUUUUAUAAACAACGUUGAUAGUCCAUUUCAUAUAACUUAAUCAUGUCCAAUCCAAUCAAUUCCUAUUUUGAUGCAACAUAAUUCAUUAUUAUACCCAUGUAAAAUAUUUUAUGCUUGAUCCAUGAAUUAGAAAUUUACUUUAUAUAGAGCAUACACUAUUGGUAUCUCAAACAUAACUAUAAAUAUGCAUAAAUAAUUUUCAUAAUCUUCAUUUCAAAUAUUUAGGCUAUUUUUCUGAAUGCAUGUAUAAAAUUAGUAAUGCCAUCAUUUUUUGGAAACUGAAUAUAUGAUAUGAAAAAUAAAAAUACUAAAGGCAGAAGUGCUCACAUAUUUCAAUCGAUACAGUCUUAGAUAUUUCACCCAAAGACUGUGCAAGAUCUGAAACAAUUAAAGUGAAUUAUUAGACUUCCUUAAUAUCGUAUGAUCUUUGUCUCACUACUUACAUACAGAAGGGACUGAAUGUCUUGUCUCUCCUCAAAGAAAGAAAGAGGAGAGAGGCUUACAAGGGGCCCAUGGUGCUCAAUAGGUGAUUGUGAGCCUUUAGCAAGGCAGCGAAGACAAAGGAUACAGUCGGAGGAGUGGUUAUUUCCAUCUUCAAGGCGGGGUUCAAGCCGAUUAAUAGGGAAAAUAAGGGGUUUGGGUCAUGGCCUCUUGCCAACGACUGGNNNNNNNNNNNNNNNNNNNNNNNNNNNNNNNNNNNNNNNNNNNNNNNNNNNNNNNNNNNNNNNNNNNNNNNNNNNNNNNNNNNNNNNNNNNNNNNNNNNNNNNNNNNNNNNNNNNNNNNNNNNNNNNNNNNNNNNNNNNNNNNNNNNNNNNNNNNNNNNNNNNNNNNNNNNNNNNNNNNNNNNNNNNNNNNNNNNNNNNNNNNNNNNNNNNNNNNNNNNNNNNNNNNNNNNNNNNNNNNNNNNNNNNNNNNNNNNNNNNNNNNNNNNNNNNNNNNNNNNNNNNNNNNNNNNNNNNNNNNNNNNNNNNNNNNNNNNNNNNNNNNNNNNNNNNNNNNNNNNNNNNNNNNNNNNNNNNNNNNNNNNNNNNNNNNNNNNNNNNNNNNNNNNNNNNNNNNNNNNNNNNNNNNNNNNNNNNNNNNNNNNNNNNNNNNCUAACAUCACCUACUAUAUAUAUAUAUAUAUGACGUAACAAAGGUGAUGACAUGCUUUUGUCAUAUUCUUAGAUUCUAUUUCUUGACUACAUGGAGCUUUCUAGGUUAUUCCACAACCAUAAACUAGAUAUCAGAGCAUGUAAGUCACCCUUUGCAUGGACGUGUCAGAUUUUUCUUAAAAACAAUAGAGAUGGAAACAUCUAAGAAUUAGAUACAACAAUGAUUAAUAGUUAUUUUUCGACCACUUUGGAGAAAAAAAUGCAUGUCCCAAUUACUUUAAGAGUAAUGUGGCUUCCAUCUUCUAUAGUGUAAGGCCCGGCUUGCAAGCCGACCUAACACAACUUGGCCAACUUGGCCUACUCCAUUGACUAGCCUAGUUGGAUGUGUGUAAUUGGGCUUGGCCCCUUUAGCCUGGCCUAGUGUUCAAGCACGAACUCCUCCUUCCUAAUCUUUGAUAAGGUAGAACCUCUAUUCGAGUCUAAGGAGAACUCCUCCUCCCUAAUCUUUAACAGGAGCUAGGAAACCUUAACCGCCAUCCUUAUUUAAACAUACCCGCACCCUCCCCCUUCAAGCUACACAUGAGCCUCUCUCCUCUUUUCUUCUUUGUCUCUUUUCUCUCUCCCCCUUCUUCCUCUCCUCUCUCUCUCUCUCUCUCUCUCNNNNNNNNNNNNNNNNNNNNUUCUCUUCUUCUCUCCCUCCUUCCUCUCUCUCUCUCUCUCUCUCUCUCUCUCGAAUUUCACUGUCAUGCCCUAUUUUUGGGCUCACCAUCAUUGUGGAUGAUUCUUGCUGGAGAAGAAGUAUUAAGCACCCCAAUCAUAUUUGAUCUAUUUUCUGGUCUACCCCCUUCCGUACAGAGCCAUCAAUGGUUAGAUUUUGAUGAAAAAUUACUGAAUUUUGCUGAUAAAUUCUUCUCCUAUUUUGGGUAUCUGUUGGUUUUUGUUCCUUAUUUUUGGAGUCGGUCACCAUUGUUUCUCCUUGCUAGCCAUCUCCCCUUGAAGGACCAUGGCUAACCUUAAAGCCUAGCCGUCAACGAGCAAGCUAAGACUCAAUUCGACAUCGAACCUUAUAACAUGGAUUUUUUUCUAUUUUUGGUUUGUUUUAUUUAUUUUUUCUUGCUAGUCACCAUCAUCGCCAGCUGCUCACCUUCUCUACUGACAAUGAUGGCCAGCCUUUCAACCAUCGCCAUCAUCUAACUAUAGUAACCCUUUGUCCCACUGAUUUUCAAUCAAACUCCUAUUUUGAACACUUUCUUUUCUUUUUACUCUGCAAUUAACCUCCCACUACUGCCAGCUACUCAUUCACCACCACUACCCCCCAAUCGCUGGUCCUCUGGCCAUUGACCAAUGCUGCUAUUGCCAGGCUGCUUCCACAACUCUUCUUCUUCCUCCAUCCUAAGAGGAGAUGAAGACAUGUCCCCUUUCACUCACUCUCUCUUCUAUCUCUCUCUAUGCAUCUGAAUGAAAUGUUGUAGAGAAUCCUCUCUCUCUUUUGUUCCUCUCUAUGUUCUUGGGUUGACCCCAAUAGAGGAUCCUGAACUGAUCGUAAAACAACCUUUUGUGUUGGCCUCCACUCCGGCCUUUGUCAGACAACAAUGGACCCCAUCAUUAACAAGUCAUGACAUGCUACUUUUGUUCAAAUUGGACUUCUACUCCUUGAUUUAGCGAGUUGAUGCUAGAUUUGUCCCACUCGGGCAACUAGGCACCGUUAUCCUUGAUUUUGGUUCUAUGAAGGAGCAAUCAUUCAGGCAAGAAAACACCGAGCAAGUGUUUUUAUGCUUAGUCUGUAUAUCUAGGUAAGACCCUAAAUUCUUAUUUAUUUAGUCUUGAAUUAGAUAGGAUAGGAAAAUAGGGCUAAGAAUAAUUCUGAUAUUAAGAGUUUGAAAUUAGUAAAUUAACAUUGUUGGUGUCUAGUUAAGGAUAAGUUGAUUAUAUAUUGUUGUUAAAUUAAUUAGCUUUGUUAGGUGUGCCCUCGAAUUGGUAAAUAUUGUAUUUGAGUUUGUCACUAACAAAGGUAAGAAUUUCUGUACAUAAUCACCUGUAUAUAUAUUAUGCCUAUUUAUAUUCAAUGGUUUUGUUGGUUUUGCAUGGGAUAAUAUCAUUCAUUGCAUGAUUGCCGAUAGGAAUAUAUAAGUAUAUAUUUCUUAUUUGAAUAUAUAUGUCAUAUUUCAAUAUUUUGGCUGCAUAGAAUAUAAUACUAGUUGCUUGAUUGUCAGUAUGAAUAUUAUAUAUAUAUAUAUAUAUAUAUCAUGUUUCUUUGAUCGUAUUUAUAUAUUUGAUAUAUCGACAAUUUUGGUUACAUGAAAUAUGAUACUGAUUAAUUUGAAAUUUGGCAAGGAAUAUAUCAUUCAAUUAUAAUUUUAUUUGGAAAGAAUAAAAUUAAUCAAUCAGAUGGAUGAAUAAGAAAUAUUUGCAAUGACCUUAUCAAGUGGAUAUCCUCUACGAGUUGUACAUGGGGUAGCCUCUACAAGCUUAUACGUGGGAUAGCUUCUACGAGCUUAUGUGUGGGAUAGUUUCCAUGAGUUUACAUAUGGGAUAGCUACCACAAGCUUACACAUGAAAAUUUUGUUUUGCUAGUCAUGGAUUGGAGCAUGCUUGGCUAGUCCAAAAUUGAAAAGUUAAUUGUUAUUAGAUCCAGAAUUGUGAUAAUAAGAAAUGGAUGAUAAGAUACAUGAAACCAUUAUUGAAUACGAAGGUUUUACUUGAUGAUAUUUGAGAUACAUCCUUUUUGAACAAGAAGGAUAUUUGAUGAUAGAUGUUUCAUAAUUAUGUAUAUAUACAUAAUUAAGUUGUGCUGGGUAGUUGGUAUUCGAUUCCACAAUAAUUGUAUUUAUUUCAAUAUUAUUUUUUCUAUUUUCUAAUUCUAUAUUAUUUAUAUUGGUAUGGAUGUAUGGGGAUUCUUACUGUGCUGUUAGCUCAUACCACUUCUUCACUUCUAUUUAGAGUUGCAGGAUGCUAGUACUUGACUGUGGUUUGGGAUCCUGGUGAGAGCAUGAAUAGCUAGAAUGUCGCUGAUACCAGUCAAAUAAUUAAGAUUUGUAAUUGAACAACUCAUUUUUCUUAUGACUAAAGGAUUAUUUACCUUGUUAUCAAAUGAUAUUUAUAUUGUCCAAUAAUUUGAUCGAGGAGAAGAAAAAUUUUCUUCAACUCGCUAAAUUUGAAUCUCUCUCAAAAAAAUUACAAGAUGAAGAAAUUACGAAAGUAGGGAUUAAAUCUCAUUUUCUUUUAUUAAUGGUAAAAAAAAUAAGGUAUACAACUUUUAUUGAUAAUGGUGAGGUUCGUCUUUUCAUAAUUUGGGUUAAAUUUUUCUUUCUAAUUUUGAUACAACUCUCUUUUUCUGAAAUAAACAUCAUUAGUAAAAAUAAACUCGAAAAAACUAAAAUUUGUUAGAAGAUAGAUCUUGAUUUUUACAUCAACUCUGCCUUCUGUAGCUCUGCUCGAUUCUUCUUGGAUGGAGAGAUAUGUCUGAAAAGAAAACUUUCGAUUUGAUUGAUCCGUUUCAAGCCCUAAACGAUAGAAUGUGGGUUCGACCGCUAGAGGCACUGCCCCCUAAAGGGCCUCUAAAAAACUAUCCAAUUUUUAAAAAAGAAAAAGUAUCUCAACGGACGUCGUAUGACCAAGUUAUGGCUUUCAAAAAUUUGGCCUACAGCUUGGAUUUCCGAUGUGGUGGAUCUCGCUCCUGGAUCUUGUCAAGUCUUACCUAUAGUGGUCUACAUCGAGUUUGGAGAUCUUUCUAGAUAAUCCAAUCAUAUUGAGGUUGUGACGAAUUUAUGUACAGACCUUGCAUACUCUUUAAAAUUAUGCUCUAAGGGUCGUGGCCGACCCAUGUGACGGGUUUGAAGUGUGAAAUAUAGUAUCAAAAUAGAUAAAAAUAAUAAAACUAGUCUGAGAUUUAGAAUUUAAAUCAUCAUAAUGGUUAAAUUACCCAGGUGGCUUAGUUGAUAAAAGCCUACUAUUUCAGAUGUCUAAAGAUUCGACCCAACAGAUAAUUCUAGAGCAUGGUCAAAUUAAUAAUGACUAAAUGCUUAGAACUGGAUGAGAAAUGAUGGAUGCCAGAAUUGAUACUAAAUUAAAAUUUUGAUCUUUGAUUUACUUUUGCAUACAAAAUUCAGCCUAUGUUUUUUGUUCUGAGUGAUGAUCAAGCUAAUGAUUGAAUGGGGGGAGCUUGUCACAACCUAUUCCUUAAGAAUCUCUCCAUAAGCACUUGGAGGUAUCAUACCAAGCAAUCAAUAGUUUGCACUUUCAAAACCAAUCAGUGACAAUUUAGACUAUACUUACUAGUUUUCUUUAUGAUCUUAAACUUCUAAUGCUAAACUUUGUCUAUCCGGUAGGAUAAAAUAUUAGCAAUAUUAGAUAACAAAUUGAUUCCAAAAGUUUAAGAUUAUAGGAGAUAUACAAGCAAGGAUUACUGAGUCAAGAUAGAGUCUCAACUAAUCUAAGCUUUGAUACCAUACUAGCUAACUAAUUGAUCCCAAAAGCUUAAAUAUGAAAUGGAACAAUAAUGUAUAUAAGGCCAAACAAACAAAACUCAUAUCAUAGAUGGGAAAUUAAAUUUCACAUACCUAGUUUAAUAGUACAUGCAAAUUCAUUAGAUUGCUAGUUCUUUAGAUUAAGGGGACAUGUCUCAUUCUUGAGAGGAAGGAGGGGAGACUCAUCCAAUCUAAUGGCCUGCUUAAUAUUCACCCUAGAAAAAAGAUAUAUUCCCGAUGUUUUUUAAUUAAUGCAUAUACCGAUGCUUAAAAGCGUCGGUAUUUUUAUUGUCGUUGCUUUCUAAAGCGUCGGCAAUGUAAGCGCCAAAAUUUUAUCUUUUAUUGCCCAAUUAUGGACGCUUUACCGAUGCAUAAAAGCAUUGGCAAUACAUCUUUUAACAAUGCUUUAAAGUGUUGUUAGAGUUAUUUUUUAAAAAAAUAUUUAAUUUUUUUUAAAAAUUUGUAUACAUUUACUAAACAUUUACAUAAUAAAAGUCACAUGUCACAAUCAAACAGAUCAUUUGAAAUAUUCAUAAUGUCAAAUAUGAUUACAUUAACAUUAUCAAUUUAUAUUUACAGUGUGCUUUGAAACAUAAAAACUAUAUAUAUAAAACUCCUAAAUAAAUAGUCUAUGAGGUAUCAGGGGCCAAUGGCAUCAUCAUCAUCAUCUCUACGAGUAGAUGAAGUAUCAGGAACCUACAAAAAAAAUAGAAAGUUUAGAAGUUAAGAACACGAAAAUCAUUAAGCUCAUACAAAAAUACAUGAUAAUUAUGUAAAAUAUUUAAAUAGAUAUAGUUAUUUACCUGAGAAGAGGCAAACCUAUAUAACAUAGAUGCGAUCCGGUUAAGCUGCGCCCUCAAAGAUUGUAUCUGUUUCUGAUGAUUCUGCCUCAUCUACUCUAUUUCUGUAUGAUGGCUCUGCCUCAUCUCCUCUAUCGCUGUCUUCAGGCUACAAACUUCUAUAGUGCUACUAUCUUGUUCGGCAUGUUGUGUAUAUCUGCCAGAAUUCGUCACUCGACCAUAAUGCUCCAGCUGAGCCCAUCAAUUCGGCGAACACCAAGCUUCGACGCGAUUGAUCUUGGUGGAUGAUGAUGACUCUCCAACACACUCUGAAAUAAAGGAUGUAUCCAUGUCUUAUAUCUCUCAAAAAAUAGUCACAUAUUAAUGUUUGAAAAAAUAAAACUAAUAAAAAAUUAUUACAUAAAUUAAAGAUGAAUUCAUACAACUAUAUCUCUUGACUCCUUUCGGAUAAAGCUUCCAUCUCGGUGGGUGUGAGUCAUCCUAUAGAAUUUUACCUCACCAGGCUCCCUCCAAUGCUCUUCCAUCUAUUACAAAAAAUAUAUUGACAAAUAAUAUAUCAUGAUAUGUGAUAUAUGAUAGACGAGUUUUAAAGAGUUUCAAAAAAACUUACGAAUUCAUCUCUACGCCUCGUAUAACUCUUUGAGCCUGAAGUGUGAGUAACUGCCUGAGAUACUCAUGUAGCUCUACUAAUAUCGAAAUAUGUCUGCUAAAAAAAUUAAACAAUGUAAUAUAUUCGAUAUAUAUAUUCGCAAGCUAUAUUAAUAAUAAAUACUAUUUAAGAUAUUGAGAGAGCAUACAUAACUUGUCCCUUCUCAAAAAACUAGUAGUGAGCAAGCUCCCUCCACUGAUGAGGGUAUACAUCAAGAGGAUAAACACGAGCAACCUCCUCCUCUGUCAUACCUUCGCCCUUGUAGUCCAUCUUCAACUUCGCCUUAUAUUCUUUCCAUUUGCAGUUGAGGGACUUUAGCACCUAAUAAUGGCUCUCUGGAGAAAGCACAAACUUACUCUACACCGAAGUAAAGAAUGUUAUAAUAAUAUUAAAUCAAAAAUUAAAAUUAUGAUAGUAAACAAAUUAACAUACAGGAGGUAUCAAAUUAAUAAUAUCAAAUUCAAUUCUUUACCUAUACAACUCUAAGAAGCUCAACCUUAUACAAAGGAAGCAUAUUAUUCCACUUCGCAUAGUUGAGUGGAUACAACUGAUCCUUACACGCAACCGAUUCUAAAAAACUUAAUAAAAGGCUUCCAACCCUCUAGAUGGGCUGCCCCAGUUCGUUGCAUCGGAUGACAAUCUGUUAAAUCUAUUAAAUUUAUUAAUUAUUGCAGCUGCUUCUUGUCCUCCUCUGAAAUUUUGUUAAAUUUUCAAUACUAUGUCGAAGAGCAUCUCUGAGUAAGCCUCUUAUAUUAUCUUCUCCUAUAGAAUUUUUUUCUAUGUUACUGAAUCUAAAACUAGAUGUAUGAUCUAUAUAAGAGGGUUGGUUACAUGGAGACGGUAAUAUUGACUCUUCAUGAAAUACUCAUUCAGUAUAAUUCUUUAGAAAACCAUUCCACACCAAAUAUUCUUCAACAAUUUUUGAAGUGAAAGAAGAACAAUUUAUAUAUUUUUGACAUGGACAUAAAAUCUUUCUGUUCAUAUUAGAUUUUUCAAAAGCAAAUUUAAUAAAAUUCUGUACUCAAUCCAGAUAUUCUUUGCUGGAUCUUGACUUAUUUAUCCAAAUUUUGUCUAUUCUAUUAGAAUACUAAUUGAACUGCAACUUAUCAAAAAAAGAUAAACAAAAUUAGACACUUAUCUAUUAAGUAUACUUCUCUCAACAUUUAAGUAUACUUUGACUUUAAUCUUAAUACAGCUUCAUGAAUCUCAUAUGUUCGACUUUAUGAUUGAAAAACAUUCAUUUCAUUGAUACAAAAAAAAACAUCCACUUCAUCAAAAAAAGUUGAAGCUGAAGGAAACAAUUUCAAAGAGCACCACAUUUGGAGCAGACAUAUUCAAAAGAAAAAAGUUUAUAGACAUAUAAAUAAAAACUACAAUAUGGAGACUCUUAAUAUAAUUCAUUCAAUUGUAUUGCCUCCAUGAUUUGAAGAUAAAUAUAAUUCACUGUGAGAGUCAUAAGUGCAGUAACCACAGAAAUGGCCAAAUUCCUAUGAGUAUUGAAACCAACGCAAGGCAACGGCUUCACCAACAUUUUGGACAAAUAUUAUCCAUGCAUGAUUUUCCUUAAUCUCAACAAACAUCUCUAAAACUUUUAAUGGAACAAUUGCAUCAACAUUUCUUUCCAUUUCCUCCAUGAUUUCCAACUAGAUAUAGUGUCAUUAGACACAAUAUAUGUAUAUAUGUAUGUAUUCAGUUGAGCAAUCCCUCUUUUAUUUUCUCUGUUAAACCUCUUUUCAUUUUCUGAAACUGGAGAUCAAAAAAUGACCAAAUAGAAGAAAAAUGAAAACUAAGAAGAAAUCAGAAACCGGAGAUCCUAUUGAUCUCCCAAAUUAGAGCAUUGAUCAAGAAAUCCAUGGAUUUCCAUCACGACAAUCUCACGAGACACAAAAAUCCACUAAAAAUUGAUCAAGAAUCGGAAUAAAUCCAGCUAUGUAGAAAAAAAAAGUGGUAAAUAGACAUACCUUUCGAUGACCCUCGAGAGGGAGGGAAGCGUUGUUGGGAGAAAGAUAGAGCAAGGAAGAGAAGGGAUGCCUUGCAAAAUCGGGUGGGUCGCUGGAGAGGAAUUGGGAAGCCGGAGAGGACGGAGAGGAAUUAGGAAAAUCGGUUGGGUCGCCGGAGAGGAAGGAGAGGAAUUGGGAAGCCAGAGAGAAAGGAGAGGAAUUGGGAAAUCAGGAGGCUAGGGAUUGGAUUGGGUUGGGGUUUUAUUGGCAUCCGAUUAAUGGCCCCCGAAGCAUCGUCUAUUAAACUGCUUCUGACGAUGCUUAUAAGCUACAAGAUAGCUUCCAACAACUCUAUUAAGCGCUAUGGCUUCCGCCAACGCUAACAAGCGUCGUCAGCUUUGGACAACGCUUAUAAACGUCGUCUUAGUAUAAUUCUUACAGACGCUACUAAAAAGCAUAGACAAUAUUUGACGCAUUGCCUAAAUUGCCGACGCUUUCUUCUAGCGUCAGCAGAUUAGAGUCGGAGGAUACUAUUUUUCUUGUAGUUAUUGCUCUUGUUUUUUCAUUUUUGAUUUCAAAAACCAAAGAAGAAAAUGAAUCAGACCGAACAACAUGUACAAUGAAACCUUCCACCUCUUUAAAUUGAUUGUAAAGAUGACUAGAGCUCUUGGUAGUAGAACUCUUGAUUUAAAUUGAUUCGAGUGAAAUUAAAAGCAAGUGAAGCAGAAGUUCUGUAUGAUUGCUAUCUUCAGUAUAUAUCUGUACAUGAUAUUUCACCAACUUUUAGGUAAACAAAAACACAAAAACAAAUGCCGGACAAGCCAUAAAUUAUCGAGGUUCUAGUUGGAGAAGGCACUAAGGAGAGGCGGGUUGGGACUCCUGGGGCAUCUCACAUUUCAGUGUACCGUUAGGGAGCAUUUUCAUUCAUCAUCCUGAAAUGGCCGGCCUGGCCCAAGAUUAGAGUCGCCUCUGUUGACCUCUUCCAUGCGGUCAUCCAAUUAUUCCGCCCUAAGUACCUAUCCCUUUCUUUCUUACAACAUUUUGCAUUCCUCCACCUAAACCGUGCUCACUAAGAAAACCUCCGUCUCCAGAUGAUGGGUGAUCGUGAAGAGCCUCAGGUAGAGUGAUCUCAAUUCACUGUCCUAACACACUUGGUUUUCUUUUGAUAUGUUCUGAAGCUAGGAGCGGCCAACGAUUUUCUUCCCUUGUCAGCUUGUAGAUUUCUUUUUUCUUGAUUUUUCUUUAUUUUACACAAGUUCGAGGGUCCUGGGUUUUGACGCAUAAUAGCAAAUCUCCAACUCAAAGUUUUUAUCCACAAAUAUCAUGUACCUUUUCAAUUUUUCUUGGUUAUUGAUAGGGUGAAAAGCCCAGAAUUUUCUUCUGAGAAAUCUCUCCAAUUCAUUUGGAACCUCACUUUAUUUUUCUGAUAUGUCCCAGUGAUAGUUCAAAUAUGAGAAAAAUGAGAUGUCUAUUUUGGCUUCUUUUUUUUUUUUGUAUGAACCGGGAGGAUUAACCACCCAAUUUAUUCAUCGAAAAGGUAUUUACAUGAGGUUUGGUUAUAAAAGGUUGACCCAAGCUGUGAGGGUGCUUGUGUCUGUUUCAGAUCUGAUGAAGGGAAAACAAAUUAAAGUCUGAGGAAGUGAGUCGGAGCAGUCCUGAGCAGGUUCACCAUUUGAGGGCAUAUUCUAAGUUCCGGCAGGGAGUUCCGUUCUUCCAAGAGUGCAAUUAAAGCUGAUUUCUAUUGUUUUACUGGAAGAAUUUGCCUCGAAUUUGAAGAUCCUAUCGCUUCAAAUAGUUCUUAUUUUUUCUAUACCCUAUAUGAUGAUUCUACGAUGUUUUGAAAGCUUAGUGAUUUAAGUUUAUUUUGUGAAUUUCUGAAGUAGAACCCAUGACUUACAUGUGCUAUCAUGAUCGAUCACAUGGACGGAAAGAUAUAUAAAUAAUAAACACCAUGGACUUCAAUUGCUGCGUCUCAAACUAUAAAUUACAUGAGGUCUUUGGAACCUGUUGUCUGCGAUCAUCUAGUUUAAUUUUUGGAUUUCGUUUUUUGCUUCAUCUCUUCAAUGACUUGUUAUGAGGAGCUUCUGACCUUUUGCUGUUAGAAUUAUUUAUAGCCAUUACUUUCCUUUUCUGAGGGAAAUUCCUCAAGGACGACUUGAUAUUAUUAUAUGCCACUUUCUCUUCUUCCGAUUCUAGUGCUGUUUCUAGUUCUUUUGUUGAACUAAUUUAUCUGGGAGUAUGGAUAUUUUUUACUGAUAUUUUUAGUAGUUCCACCAAAUUAUAUUUUUGCUAACUAAACAUGGCUUUGAAAGAACUGGCGCUUCUCCUGGUCUUCUCUUUUUGACAAUGGAACCAAACAUGAACAGAUCCUUGCUCUUAGGUAUUCUCAUCAAACCUCCUCUCGUCCCCAACUUUGAGGUUGACUUCGUUUACUUAGUCUUCUAUAUUUUGUUUUUUAUUCUGAACCAAGGUUCAGGUCAUGAUGCCGACAGAUUGUACGUUUAUGUAUCUUGAUUAUAUCCUUAUAGAUAAUUUCUUUGUGCCAUAAUUAUCUAAUUUGUGUUUUGGAAGCAUGUCAGCAUUAUGAGAUGUAAAUGUUUGUAACUAACCCAAAUUCUAUUUCUGACAAGGUGAAAAAAGUCACACUUUCUGAUCACUUGAAUCAAAUGCAUUUACGUGACGUUAAACUCAGAUAGAAAGAGGAAGGGAGGGCGAGGAGGUCAAUUAGUUAUUAUAGUUGUUGCUACUAAAUGGAUCUUGAAGCACAGUGAUGAGGGAGAGGCGCUCUAAUAUUAAUGGGGUUUAGAAUGGGAUACGGCAUGAAAUCUUGAAUCUCUUGGUUGUACGUUGUCAGCUUCCUAGAGUAACAAGGUUAAGUAGGCAUAGCCGUUGCAACAAGACAAAAAGAAAGAAGUGCCAGCGAAAACAUGUUGUGAUAUUUUAUGUUCUUUCAUAUCAGAAAUAGGAAUUGCAGGUUAAUUCCAAAGCAUUUCAGGUGUUUCCAUCCCUAAUUCAUGGAUCUAAUUAUAUUUGUUUUCUAAGGAAAGGUCAUUCAUUAAUUUUUUACCAAAAAAAGUUCAUUCAUUAACUAGAUUUCAAAAAUGAAGUAAUUUUUUGAGUAGUUAUAUACUACAUUAUAAAUCUCAAAAUUUGAAAACUGACUUGACUAAGUGUGGCUCUCUAACCAAUAUUUCUCAUCAUAUUUUCAUGGUUGUUUGUGAGUAUAGCAUUUUUGAUGUCUUAUAUGGCAUGUCUACAGGGAAGUCUUGUGCUAGGUAAUAUAUAUUUUGACUUGUGCUGGUUGGCAUGCAUUAAAUAUCUAUUAUAGCUAGGCAUAUUGCCAUUUUAAGUCUUUAAUAUAAAAGAAAUCUUCAAGACUUCUUUGGUUUUAACUAAUGGAACCCUAAACUAUAUAAAAGCAUCUUAAUUUCUUGAUUUUUUUAAUUCCAAAAAUAACCCUUAGCAACUUUAGUUAGAUUUCUCUCUUAGAAGCCUCAGUAGAAUAUCCAAGACUUCUAUAAAGAAGGGAUUAUAAUAUUGCUAGACUUCAGGUAUAAAGAAAAUGAACGAAGACAUUUCAAAUUAACAACUAAUAGUAAAUUCAAGUUAGCAAGAAAAAAGUUUAAUUGAAAUAUUUAAAAUCUAAAAGCUUUUAUUGAACAAGGAAGAAAGAAACAUCUGAACCUAUAAAAUAUUUAGUUUAUAGUUAAAUGUUUAACUAUAAACUAAAUAUUUUCAAAAAUUUUAAAAUUUAGGUUUUAAUUAAAUUAUUUGAGAUUUAAUAUUUUUACAAGUUGCAUUUAUCUGCUCGUGCAUUAUAAUUAGUUACUAGUGAAAAGGACUAUGCAAAAGUUAUGAUCCCUUACAGUGGGCAGAUUUAAUUAAGUGUUGUCACCACAGCAAUUUAUAGUUAUCUCCUUGUCAGUAGUGUACUUUAGCAAGGUCUUAACUGCUAUUUUUAUUUGUUGAAAGAUCUCCUGUAUAUAUACUUUAGUUUCUUAAUAUUGCUUAAAGGAAUUCAUUACAUUGGAUUCACGGCAAACAUUUAUCGCACCAUAACUGUUUUUUUGAAUAUAUCUAUUAUAUGAAAAUUUUCGNNNNNNNNNNNNNNNNNNNNNNNNNNNNNNNNNNNNNNNNNNNNNNNNNNNNNNNNNNNNNNNNNNNNNNNNNNNNNNNNNNNNNNNNNNNNNNNNNNNNNNNNNNNNNNNNNNNNNNNNNNNNNNNNNNNNNNNNNNNNNNNNNNNNNNNNNNNNNNNNNNNNNNNNNNNNNNNNNNNNNNNNNNNNNNNNNNNNNNNNNNNNNNNNNNNNNNNNNNNNNNNNNNNNNNNNNNNNNNNNNNNNNNNNNNNNNNNNNNNNNNNNNNNNNNNNNNNNNNNNNNNNNNNNNNNNNNNNNNNNNNNNNNNNNNNNNNNNNNNNNNNNNNNNNNNNNNNNNNNNNNNNNNNNNNNNNNNNNNNNNNNNNNNNNNNNNNNNNNNNNNNNNNNNNNNNNNNNNNNNNNNNNNNNNNNNNNNNNNNNNNNNNNNNNNNNNNNNNNNNNNNNNNNNNNNNNNNNNNNNNNNNNNNNNNNNNNNNNNNNNNNNNNNNNNNNNNNNNNNNNNNNNNNNNNNNNNNNNNNNNNNNNNNNNNNNNNNNNNNNNNNNNNNNNNNNNNNNNNNNNNNNNNNNNNNNNNNNNNNNNNNNNNNNNNNNNNNNNNNNNNNNNNNNNNNNNNNNNNNNNNNNNNNNNNNNNNNNNNNNNNNNNNACGUAAAGGAUAACUUGACUCGAGUAUAGUGUUGGCCUUAUGGGAGGUCAGCACCACCCUUUGACUCGGGAGAUCGUAAUUGGCCGUGGACUAACCGCUCGACCCGUGGUACCCAUGUGGUGCAGCCCCUUCUGCCCAUCUAUCGUUUAGUAUAGGGCUUUGCGCUGCCUUUUAUAAGAAAAUAUAGUUGCGUCUUCACUAACAGCAAUUGCUUUUGGUGCAAUGGUAGCGCUUGAUCCUGACAUUUAGUAUAUCAAGUUUCUCGUAAUAUUAUAGGUUUGCGCAAUAUUUAAAUUUCUACAAGACAAGAGAUAUAUUAGCUUUUUCGUCCUAUUUAUUUCUAUGAGAAAACAUGAUCCGAUCGGACUAGGAUGGGACUCAAAAUCCUUCUAUGCGAAAAGAGGAAAAAUAAAUUAAAAAAAAGAAGGAAAAAGGGAGAGAAUAAUGAAAGGAAAAGAAAAUAAGAAGAAAAGAAUAAAAAAAGAAGAAGGAAGAAAGGAAUUAAGAAAAGAAAGAAGGAGAGAAGAUGAAGGGUACUCAUUAGGAUAGCUUUGGGGACAAGAGUGUCCUAAUCCNNNNNNNNNNAAGCACAGAAAGGAGGAAUGGGAUAGUCACAUAUCACAACUCUGCGCGUGUCUGUGUGUAUGUGGUUUUAAUAAUUUUGCAAACCCCCUUGUAUUGAGCUUGCUAACAAAACCAUUUUGUAGGGCUGAUCUCGCGGGUCAGCUGAGACAAGCCUCUUUUGUUAGUGAUGACCUUACCUGGGUUUACUUAAAUCAUUUGUAUGGCUUGUGAACUUCAGCAGAUAUACUCUAUUAUUACGAUCACAAAAAUGGUCGACCGAGCAUAUUUUUCUUUUGUUUUUGAUGUUUGUGGUUCUUCAUCAGUUCGCAUCCAUUUUUUCUUUAUUUUGAAAGUAACAGUGGGAAAUAAUGGAAAAGAUAUUCAUAUUAAAAUUUUGGAUAAAAAACACUUCUGGAAAAGGAUAGAAAUCAUGAUAACCCUUGCGGCAAAAUAAAUAUACACAACGAAAAGGAGGUUUAGAAAAGCAGAAAUAAACCCCUAGAUCAUAAGCCGUAUUCCUAUCAAAGCAGGUUUAUAAAAGCAGGAAUAAUCAUGCAAGAGAACCCAAGAUGCACCAAAUUUUGUUUGUGAUUUCUAGUUUCAAACUACCUUCAGUCAAGAAUAUGGAUUGUAACUGGAUUACCUCAAACUACAUAAAGAUCUCGCCACCUUUUGAGAGAUGUACAUAUAGUAUAUAAACUUUUUUUGUAACUAAUGCAUUUAACGGGAGUAUUUGUUGCCUCCCAUGCCUCAUAAACUCUACGUUGGAGUUAGCUUAGAGCAUUGGAUGAAAAUUUCACUCUAAUCUUUUUUUUUU